RNAcentral lists this ribosomal RNA (253 nucleotides) under uncultured bacterium. RNAcentral describes it as "partial 16S ribosomal RNA". It matches the Rfam family "Bacterial small subunit ribosomal RNA", at positions 524 to 776 of the family's 1533-position model. The record is from RNAcentral.
AACGUAGGUGGCGAACGUUAUCCGGAAUCAUUGGGCGUAAAGGGUGCGUAGAUGGCAUGAUAAGUUAUUAGUGGGAAAUCGAGGCUCAACCUCGUGGAAGCUGGUAAUACUGUUUUGCUUGAGUGCAGGAGAGGUUAACGGAACUCCAUGUGGAGCGGUAAAAUGCGUAGAUAUCAGGAGGAAUACCGGUGGUGUAGACGGCUCUCUGGACCGCGACUGACGCUGAGACACGAAAGCGUGGGUAGCAAACAGG